RNAcentral lists this transfer RNA (72 nucleotides) under Cavia porcellus (domestic guinea pig). It matches the Rfam family "tRNA". Rfam says of the family: Transfer RNA (tRNA) molecules are approximately 80 nucleotides in length. Their secondary structure includes four short double-helical elements and three loops (D, anti-codon, and T loops). Further hydrogen bonds mediate the characteristic L-shaped molecular structure. tRNAs have two regions of fundamental functional importance: the anti-codon, which is responsible for specific mRNA codon recognition, and the 3' end, to which the tRNAs corresponding amino acid is attached (by aminoacyl-tRNA synthetases). tRNAs cope with the degeneracy of the genetic code in two manners: having more than one tRNA (with a specific anti-codon) for a particular amino acid; and 'wobble' base-pairing, i.e. permitting non-standard base-pairing at the 3rd anti-codon position. The record is from Rfam by way of RNAcentral. Lineage: Eukaryota; Metazoa; Chordata; Mammalia; Rodentia; Caviidae.
GGAGGUGUGGCUAAGUGGUAGAGUAUUUGUCUAGCAUGCAUAAAGCCCUGAGUUCAGUCCCCACUACCACCA